RNAcentral lists this ribosomal RNA (737 nucleotides) under Dactylellina miltoniae. RNAcentral describes it as "partial large subunit ribosomal RNA". It matches the Rfam family "Eukaryotic large subunit ribosomal RNA", at positions 148 to 904 of the family's 3401-position model. Lineage: Eukaryota; Fungi; Ascomycota; Orbiliomycetes; Orbiliales; Orbiliaceae. The record is from RNAcentral.
AUUUGAAGAGGGUGUUUCGGUUGCGGCCCUGGCCUAAGUUCCUUGGAACAGGACGUCAUGGAGGGUGAGAAUCCCGUACAUGGCUGAGGGCUUGCUUCCAUGUGAAACCCCUUCGAAGAGUCGAGUUGUUUGGGAAUGCAGCUCAAAAUGGGUGGUAAAUUUCAUCUAAAGCUAAAUAUUGGCGGGAGACCGAUAGCGCACAAGUAGAGUGAUCGAAAGAUGAAAAGCACUUUGAAAAGAGAGUUAAACAGUACGUGAAAUUGUUGAAAGGGAAGCGCUUGCAAUCAGACUCGCUUUCGGUUGAUCAACGUUCCUUUUGGUUCGUGCACUCUGCCGUUUGCGGGCCAGCAUCAGUUGGGGCGGCGGGACAAAGACGGUGGGAAUGUGGCUCCCUUCGGGGAGUGUUAUAGCCCAUCGUGCCAUGCCGCCAGCCCCGACUGAGGUCCGCGGUUCGCCUAGGAUGCUGGCUUAAUGGUUGUAAGCGACCCGUCUUGAAACACGGACCAAGGAGUCUAACAUCUACGCGAGUCUUUGGGUGUCAAACCCAUGGGCGCAAUGAAAGUGAACGGAGGUGGGAGUCCUCGGAUGCACCAUCGACCGAUCCUGAUGUUCUCGGAUGGAUUUGAGUAUGAGCGUAGCUGUUGGGACCCGAAAGAUGGUGAACUAUGCCUGAAUAGGGUGAAGCCAGAGGAAACUCUGGUGGAGGCUCGCAGCGGUUCUGACGUGCAAAUCGAUCG